Molecule: ribosomal RNA, 253 nt
Filed under: uncultured bacterium
Lineage: Bacteria
Description: partial 16S ribosomal RNA
Rfam family: Bacterial small subunit ribosomal RNA
Source: RNAcentral
UACGUAGGGACCAAGCGUUGUCCGGAAUCAUUGGGCGUAAAGCGCGCGUAGGUGGCCAUUUAAGUCCGCUGUGAAAGUCAGAGGCUCAACCUUUGAAAGCCGGUGGAUACUGGAUGGCUAGAGUACGGAAGAGGCGAGUGGAAUUCCUGGUGUAGCGGUGGAAUGCGCAGAUAUCAGGAGGAACACCGGUGGCGAAGGCGGUUCUCUGGGCCUGACCUGACGCUGAGGAGCGAAAGCGUGGGGAGCGAACAGG